Molecule: long non-coding RNA, 89 nt
Organism: Octopus sinensis (East Asian common octopus)
Lineage: Eukaryota; Metazoa; Mollusca; Cephalopoda; Octopoda; Octopodidae
Exons: 3
Source: RefSeq, a predicted model, not a curated record
UAUACACUGUAAAGUGGUUGGCAUUAGGAAGGGCAUCCAACCUUGGAAACUAUGCCAAGGUAGACACUGGAGUACACUGCAGUCUUUGU